Molecule: ribosomal RNA, 1437 nt
Filed under: uncultured organism
Description: SSU rRNA
Rfam family: Bacterial small subunit ribosomal RNA
Source: RNAcentral
GCUCAGGACGAACGCUGGCGGCGUGCUUAACACAUGCAAGUCGAACGGGAAGGCCCUGCUUUUGUGGGGUGCUCGAGUGGCGAACGGGUGAGUAACACGUGAGUAACCUGCCCUUGACUUUGGGAUAACUUCAGGAAACUGGGGCUAAUACCGGAUAGGAGCUCCUGCUGCAUGGUGGGGGUUGGAAAGUUUCGGCGGUUGGGGAUGGACUCGCGGCUUAUCAGCUUGUUGGUGGGGUAGUGGCUUACCAAGGCUUUGACGGGUAGCCGGCCUGAGAGGGUGACCGGCCACAUUGGGACUGAGAUACGGCCCAGACUCCUACGGGAGGCAGCAGUGGGGAAUAUUGCACAAUGGGCGGAAGCCUGAUGCAGCAACGCCGCGUGCGGGAUGACGGCCUUCGGGUUGUAAACCGCUUUCGCCUGUGACGAAGCGUGAGUGACGGUAAUGGGUAAAGAAGCACCGGCUAACUACGUGCCAGCAGCCGCGGUGAUACGUAGGGUGCGAGCGUUGUCCGGAUUUAUUGGGCGUAAAGGGCUCGUAGGUGGUUGAUCGCGUCGGAAGUGUAAUCUUGGGACUUAACCCUGAGCGUGCUUUCGAUACGGGUUGACUUGAGGAAGGUAGGGGAGAAUGGAAUUCCUGGUGGAGCGGUGGAAUGCGCAGAUAUCAGGAGGAACACCAGUGGCGAAGGCGGUUCUCUGGGCCUUUCCUGACGCUGAGGAGCGAAAGCGUGGGGAGCGAACAGGCUUAGAUACCCUGGUAGUCCACGCUGUAAACGGUGGGUACUAGGUGUGGGGUCCAUUCCACGGGUUCCGUGCCGUAGCUAACGCUUUAAGUACCCCGCCUGGGGAGUACGGCCGCAGGGCUAAAACUCAAAGGAAUUGACGGGGCCCCGCACAAGCGGCGGAGCAUGCGGAUUAAUUCGAUGCAACGCGUAGAACCUUACCUGGGUUUGACAUGGAUCGGGAGUGCUCAGAGAUGGGUGUGCCUCUUUUGGGGUCGGUUCACAGGUGGUGCAUGCCUGUCGUCAGCUCGUGUCGUGAGAUGUUGGGUUAAGUCCCGCAACGAGCGCAACCCUUGUUCACUGUUGCCAGCACGUUAUGGUGGGGACUCAGUGGAGACCGCCGGGGUCAACUCGGAGGAAGGUGGGGAUGACGUCAAGUCCUCAUGCCCCUUAUGUCCAGGGCUUCACGCAUGCUACAAUGGCUGGUACAGAGAGUGGCGAGCCUGUGAGGGUGAGCGAAUCUCGGAAAGCCGGUCUCAGUUCGGAUUGGGGUCUGCAACUCGACCUCAUGAAGUCGGAGUCGCUAGUAAUCGCAGAUCAGCAACGCUGCGGUGAAUACGUUCCCGGGGCUUGUACACACCGCCCGUCAAGUCAUGAAAGUUGGUAACACCCGAAGCCGGUGGCCUAACCGUUGUGGGGGAGCCGUCGAAGGUGGG